Cavia porcellus (domestic guinea pig) is the source of this 1535-nucleotide long non-coding RNA. RefSeq lists it as uncharacterized. The record is from RefSeq and is a predicted model, not a curated record. The transcript is spliced from 4 exons. NCBI's taxonomy places the organism in Eukaryota, Metazoa, Chordata, Mammalia, Rodentia, Caviidae.
GCGUGGCCUCGGGCCGCAGCGCGGGCUCCACGGUGGCCAGGAUGCUCUGGAUGAAGUUUUCGGCAUAGUGAGCGCGGCUCUGGAACACCUGCACGCGCUUGCGCAGCCCGCUGGUGCCCGGCUUCUGGUCAGGUACCAGUGAUCGAACCCACGACUGCCUGCUUGCAAGGCAGGCGCUUAUGCCGCUGAGCUAAAUCCCCAGCCCCAAGAAUAAUUUUUUAAUUAAAACAAAAAUGUCACCCAUUCAGGAAAACACAGAAAGGUUACUGUUAAAUCCCCAAGUAAUGGAAAGACACCACUAGGAUUCUCUAAGGGCGUAGCAGUGGGGUUGCCAAGUUUUAGUGCCUGGUCAUACUCCUCUUGAAUCUCCAGGUUCCAGUGAGACUGUUCAUGUCCACGACCACCAAAUUGUAAAAAGGCCUUUACAAUUUAGGUACUGGGGAAUCAAACUCAGGACCUCAUGCUUGCCAGGAAGGUGCUGUGCUGCUAAGCUAAAACCCUGGUCCUUGAAUACUACUUUUAAGAGGAUUAUCUGUAAUUUUCUUUUUACUUAUUAUCAUAAACACAAUAUGCUUAAGUUUCCCACUAAGAAAGAAGGCCAUACAUAUAAAAAAAUUAUUUAUACUUUAAUCAUAAAGCAUAUAACCUGUAAGUGCAUGUAAGUUAAAUUAAUAAGAUACACUAGUUAAAUUGCAUAGCACAUAGUUAAUAAAUAAACAGCAGACCAAACCUAAGGUGGUGACUCUUAGCGUGACAGCAGCCCUCCGAGUCAGCUGGAUAUGAGGGAAUACACACAAUGGUGCAUCCACUCUUGGUGUUCAUUCAGAGGCAUUACAUGUUGGCAAACCUGCAUACAAAAACAGAAAGUUUUUACUUUUCUUUUACAUGUUAUUCCUGGGAAAUUUCUAAGAGGCAUCUCAGCCUUGUGUAAAGCAUAUCUAUGUGGAACCAGGCGUGGUGGACUGUGCCUAGAGUCCCAGAUACUCAGGAGCCUGAGGCAGGAGCAUGGCGUGGGCCUACAGGCUUGAGACCACGGGCAGUAGAGCAAGAUCCUACCUCAAAACAAAAACAAAAGCAGAGCCAAGUCCCCGUGCAGAUGAAAUCCGGUGCUUUUCGUCUUUAGGUCUGACAGGGACUGCGGGCUGAGUCCCACCCUGCCAUCGUGGCUAUUGGUCAGUGCAGGUGCAGACUGCACUCCUUUCUACUGAGUACUUCUUACCUGGACAAAUAGAAAAGAUUGCCUCUUCACCCUUGGAGCAUUAUCCUGCAUAUUAGGGUUUAAAGAUAACACAGAGAAGGAGAGCUCAGCAUGCAUGUUUUUCCCUGUUCCUUCUCCCGGCUCUAGAGUCCAGCUUGGCCCUGAUUUUGAAUUUGGAGCUAACUCAGAAGCCAGAGUUCUUCACCACCAGAGCUACAGCUGCGUCUGGCUCUUGACUUAGCUGUUUAUCUAAAACAGCUAUUUCUUUCCCAUGUCAUCUUGGAACCUCUGAAUAAUGCAGACAAAAAUAUUCUGAGUAAUUAAAUGCCUAUUACUG